UUCUACUCUUAGGCCGAUUAAGAAAGUCUUCUGUAAGGGCUCAUCUAGGUCAACUUUCUGGUAGCUCACUGCUGUUUGUAAAUGGUGUGCAGGCACACAGCGUUAUUUCGUGGCAGGAGCUAAUUCCCUAACCAGUAAGAAAAGAAGCCCCUCGACCACUUGGUACGUCAGCUUUGUUUUGUGUGGCAAAGGCUUUCUUACCUUGAUUCUGUAUCUGUGGGAUAGGAUCUGGAACUUCCCUAUGAACAGCUUCAUCCCAUGGGGAUAGCCGAGCAUUGCAUUUCACUUGGCAUGUGUUCUGCCCCCCUUUCAGCAGGAGAGCAGUGCUGCUUGGGGUGAGUACAGGACCGAGCAAGGCCUUAAAAAGACAGUUAAUAGCAUUGCACGGCUCGUCUAUGACCUAAGUAAUUGCUUUUUCUAGGCAAAAUACCAGGUUUUCAUCAGCAAUGUUAUUGCAGGAAAGCACAGCACCUGGGGACCCAUGAAGGGCUCUGCCAAGGGCAGGGUGUGAGCGAGCCCUUCCUGCAGGACCCCACUGCUGCUCCUGCUCCUGCUCGGGGCGCCUGGAGGGAGGCUCCCCGGGCACUGCCCCGUACCUGGGCACCUGCGGGGAUGGGAACGGGCUGCUCCGGGCCAGGGGAGCAGGCUCAGGUUCUCAGGGGCUGUCUCUGUCCUUUGAGUUAGGAGCCUUGAGAGGAAGCCAGCUGGGUUAGGUCACCCUCUGUCUGCCCUUCUGUACCCAAACACAAAGGCUUACGAAACUGAUCCUAUUCCGUACGGAGUGCUGCUGUUUCGGGGAUGGUCUCUUGGAGCACAGGAGAUAAUGAGCUAUUGCAAGGAGCAGCAGGGAUCUCUUGUUAAAUGGAAAAGAACAAUAUUGAGCAAUUACGGUGGGAGUUGCCAUGGAAACCCCGAGGCAGUGCUAGGGUGCAGCUGCAGCCUUGGGACGACGGAGCAGGGCUGGAUCAGGAUGGAUCAGCAUCCAGCGGGAUGGUUCAGCAUCCUGUCUGCCCUGCACAAUGGCUUCGUGUCAAAGGAGAUCCCAGAGUUCCUCCGGCCCUGCCUCACCAGUUGCUCCCACCCCAUGGGAGGGGAGGCAGCAGCGUGCUUUGUGUGGCUUUGUGCUCAGCUGUGGCAUCUUCACAGUGCUUUCAUUUCAGGAUGAGCAGUAAAUGAUGCCGUGGGAUUGCUUCCCGAGCCUGCCAGACGUGCAGCUGUGAGCACUGCGCACCACCGCGCCGCCUCGUCGCGGGACGUGACAAACACGUCCUGCUGCGAGCGCUUUGGAGAGGAGGCUGCUGAGAAACCACCUUGAUUUUGGGGCUGCUUGUCACUGACUAGCGCGAGAAAUUGCAGUAAAGGUUGUGCUCAAGCUGUGAAUUUGAACAAAUUCUUCGUAUGAAGCACACA
Long non-coding RNA from Cygnus olor (mute swan), 1410 nucleotides. RefSeq lists it as uncharacterized. The transcript is spliced from 3 exons. The record is from RefSeq and is a predicted model, not a curated record. Lineage: Eukaryota; Metazoa; Chordata; Aves; Anseriformes; Anatidae.